This is a long non-coding RNA of Antechinus flavipes (yellow-footed antechinus), 1153 nucleotides long. RefSeq lists it as uncharacterized. NCBI's taxonomy places the organism in Eukaryota, Metazoa, Chordata, Mammalia, Dasyuromorphia, Dasyuridae. The record is from RefSeq and is a predicted model, not a curated record. The transcript has 5 exons.
UAGGUUCAUCAAAUGUAGCUCCAGAGAACAGAACUAAGAUCAAUGGACGGAAGUUACAGAAAGGGGGAUUUUGAUUUCACAUAAGGGAUUUCCUUAUUAUUGCACCUGUCCAGCAAUGAAAUGGGAUGUCCUCAAUCAAUCAGCAAGAAUUUAUUCAAUACUCACUAAAUAGUAGAAUUCAAAGACAAAAAUGAAUCAGUAACUGUUCUCAAAGAGCUUACAUUCUAUUUAGGAGGAUAUUGAAUGUAUGAAAGUUUUUAUAUAAGCAAAAAACCAAACUAAAUCUAUGGGGAGGAAGAUAUAUACAAAAGAAACACUAAUAGUUCAGAAGAAUUUCUACAACUAAAUAUUCAUAGCAUUUUAUUUUUAUACCAUGAGUAGAAAAAUUUAUAGCUCUGAUAUGGCUUUCUGCCAAAUAUUAUACCUAUUGGUUUGGACCAUAGAAUAUAUAAUGAGAGACCACCAUGGCCUGGUGACAGGGUAACUUUGUUACUGAAAUAAUACAUAGUAGGGAUCAAAGACAAACUUUUGAAGUCUGAAUUAACAAAUCUAACAUAUAAUCUGAUAGCAGGUCAAAAUCAUAAUUAAUUGCUUUUUUUUUUUUUUUUUUUUUUGCUUUUAGGGAUGACAUACUAGAUUUCCAAAUCUUGGCUCAGUGAUUUACUACUGAUAUGACUUCAAAAAGUUUGUCAUCUUCCUGAAGUGUAUCAAUGGAAGACAGGAGCUGAUGAAAUGUGGGACGUUUUUCUGGAAGCUAAAUAAAAAGGAAAGUCAUUGUUUGGGGUGAUUGAUCUUCCACCAUCUUAUCAGCAAAAAUAAGUAUCUGCCCAUUCUAUAGUGAUGUAGACUUCAAUCCAUCUCUGCCUACCCAUCGUGUGCUCCAUUGCCAUUUUCUCUCAUAAGUUUGACAUGAGGAAUCUAUCCUAUAUACCCUGGACUUUCUGGAUAUUCUCCUGAUGACCAAUAGACAGAAGAAAACUGUAUCCUUUUCAUGUGGGAAGAGACGAACAGGAUAUAUUCCACCCAGCAUGCUGCUGACAUUAAAUGCACUACCAAGAAUGUCUCUCCAUCUCUGCAUGUAGGCUAACUAUGCUGCUGUGGAUAACAACUCUCUUACCAAAGGCCCAUACGUCUGAUUUGCUGCUAUAUUUGG